Molecule: long non-coding RNA, 535 nt
Organism: Cornus florida
Lineage: Eukaryota; Viridiplantae; Streptophyta; Magnoliopsida; Cornales; Cornaceae
Exons: 2
Source: RefSeq, a predicted model, not a curated record
UAAAAACAAUUCAGCAGAAACCAAUUUCGUGCAUUUGGCUUCUUCUUUAUAGUCACUUUUAUAUUGCUCCAUUUGAGGUCUUUGUGUUAGGAAUUUGAGAGGUGUGUGUGAAUGAAAAAGGUUCCUAAGGGAGAGAGAGCUUCCUUGUGGUUAAGAGUUGUGCACAGUUUAUUAAUUUUGGGCUGUCAAAAAGGGUGUCGAGAGAAGAGGUGCGGGUGUAUUUUAUAAAGGAAAGUGUUCUUCACCUUCUAGUUGCAGAUUUUGAUCCAUUUUUGGUGCGGUUUUGAAUUGUUUAGCAAGUGUUCAAGCUUCCCUUGAGGUCAUAGCAUGGAUGGUGUGGAGGGUGUUCCUCCUCAGCUGUAGACAGAGUCGGGGCUGGUGUUGUUGUGUUUUAUUCUGUAUAAUAGACUAUGUUUUGUAUUAUAUUUUUUUUUAGAGUAUUUUUGGCAUGUAAUAAAUGUUAUUUCGAGUUUUAAAACUUUAAUGUUGUAAUAUGUGCAUCUUAUCUAUUUAUUUUCAGUCUUGAUUUUGUAAA